GAGUUUGAUCUUGGCUCAGAGCGAACGCUGGCGGCAGGCUUAACACAUGCAAGUCGAGCGGGCGUAGCAAUACGUCAGCGGCAGACGGGUGAGUAACGCGUGGGAACGUACCUUUGGUUCGGAACAACCCAGGGAACUUGGACUAAUACCGGAUAAGCCCUCAGGGGGAAAGAUUUAUUCGCCGAAAGAUCGGCCCGCGUCUGAUUAGCUAGUUGGUGAGGUAAUGGCUCACCAAGGCGACGAUCAGUAGCUGGUCUGAGAGGAUGAUCAGCCACAUUGGGACUGAGACACGGCCCAAACUCCUACGGGAGGCAGCAGUUGGGGAAUAUUGGGACAAUGGGCGCAAGCCUGAUCCAGCCAUGCCGCGUGAGUGAUUGAAGGCUCUAGGGUUGUAAAGCUCUUUUGUGCGGGAAGAUAAUGACGGUACCGCAAGAUAA
This 437-nucleotide ribosomal RNA is filed under the name uncultured Alphaproteobacteria bacterium. RNAcentral's name for it is "bacterial SSU rRNA". It matches the Rfam family "Bacterial small subunit ribosomal RNA", at positions 9 to 488 of the family's 1533-position model. The record is from RNAcentral. Lineage: Bacteria; Pseudomonadati; Pseudomonadota; Alphaproteobacteria.